AUUGAACGCUGGCGGCAGGCCUAACACAUGCAAGUCGAGCGAGCGGCGGACGGGUGAGUAAUGUCUGGGAAACUGCCUGAUGGAGGGGGAUAACUACUGGAAACGGUAGCUAAUACCGCAUACCAUCAGAUGUGCCCAGAUGGGAUUAGCUAGUAGGUGGGGGAACGGCUCACCUAGGCGACGAUGCCUAGCUGGUCUGAGAGGAUGACCAGCCACACUGGAACUGAGACACGGUCCAUACUCCUCGGGGAGGCAGCAGUGGGGAAUCUUGCACAAUGGGCGCAAGCCUGAUGCAGCCAUGCCGCGUGGGUGAAGAAGGCCUUCGGGUUGUAAAGCACUGUCAGCGGGGAGGCGUUAUCCGCAGAAGAAGCACCGGCUAACUCCGUGCCAGCAGCCGCGGUAAUUC
RNAcentral lists this ribosomal RNA (406 nucleotides) under uncultured bacterium. RNAcentral's name for it is "partial 16S ribosomal RNA". It matches the Rfam family "Bacterial small subunit ribosomal RNA", at positions 30 to 526 of the family's 1533-position model. The record is from RNAcentral.